CCUCCCUCCUACUGUCUGCUGAGCUGGGGCUUGCAGUGCCUUUUGCAGCUCCUGCUUGGUGCAACACAUAGUUCUUCUGUGGACACUUUGUUUGCAUCCUUCCAUUUUCACAAAAAUUUUUCAGUCCAGUCCUUUCAAUUCAAUCAGUGGUCAUAUGCUCACAAUUACCAAAAGACAUCCAUUCUCAUGUGGCUAAUGCCACUUGUGACUAGUUGAAAUGGUAUGAUUAGCAUUUUUCUCUGCCAAACCUUAUAUUUCUGAAAAAUUCACCACAUUAUUAUCCAUUUCUCCUCUGUCAUUAAUCACAGUGUUCUAUUUCAUGUGAUCAGCCUACUGCAUAUGGGCAUCAAUGACAGAACUACUUUCACUUCGAGCAGUGUGAUUUGUGUAAACUUCAAGAGUAUUCCUGAUGUUCCUGAAAGCUCUCUUGUACAGCUGGAAUUUAUGAAGGGGGCUGCAAUACUCCUUGGCUGAGUCACUGUCCUAGUGCUGAAUCUAAGAAAACUGAAGUGGCCAGUGAGUCCUCCUGAGAAGGACAGGUUUUCAUUAAGCACUCCAGUCUGACUGAAGUUCCUAAAAGCAGUACUGCUGACAGGAGAAAAUCCCUCUUUGUGCUGCCAGAGAGCUCGGUGCUGUGUCGCUGCAGCUCGGCCGGGGAAGGCGGAGGGGAUCGGGGAGCGCGGCUCUGUCCCUGCCGCGUCCGGGGCUCCCGGACCUGCUCCCGGCACAGCCGCGGCACGGAAUGAAGCCUCCCGCACGAACUCAGAUCCCAGAGCUCCUGACAAACCAAAAGUCAUUGUGGCCUUUGCUGAACUUCUUUGCCCUCUCUCCCACACAGAGAGCCUGGGAGCCUGCCCAGUGUGGACUUCACUCAGUGUCACAGGUGACACUUGUCACUGUCCUUUUUUGGUAUAUGGGGGAAAGCAGUCCUCCACCAGUCUGGGAAUGCUUUCCAUUCAAACAGUGGAGACACAAUGAGGAAUGGGCUUCACCUCAGGUUUUUGCCUCAACCAAAGUUUGA
This 1021-nucleotide long non-coding RNA is filed under the name Taeniopygia guttata (zebra finch). RNAcentral's name for it is "lncRNA (ENSTGUG00000029249.1)". Lineage: Eukaryota; Metazoa; Chordata; Aves; Passeriformes; Estrildidae. The record is from RNAcentral.